This 260-nucleotide long non-coding RNA is filed under the name Homo sapiens (human). RNAcentral describes it as "non-protein coding lnc-ARRDC5-2:1". Lineage: Eukaryota; Metazoa; Chordata; Mammalia; Primates; Hominidae. The record is from RNAcentral.
CAGUAUUGGCCCAACAGAGGCACGGAGACCUACGGCUUCAUCCAGGUCACGUUGCUAGAUACCAUCGAGCUGGCCACAUUCUGCGUCAGGACAUUCUCUCUGCACAAAAUGGCUCCAGUGAGAAACGCGAGGUCCGCCAGUUCCAGUUUACGGCGUGGCCGGACCAUGGCGUGCCCGAAUACCCAACGCCCUUCCUGGCUUUCCUGCGGAGAGUCAAGACCUGCAACCCGCCAGAUGCCGGCCCCAUCGUGGUUCACUGC